This 253-nucleotide ribosomal RNA is filed under the name uncultured bacterium. Its description in RNAcentral is "partial 16S ribosomal RNA". It matches the Rfam family "Bacterial small subunit ribosomal RNA", at positions 524 to 776 of the family's 1533-position model. The record is from RNAcentral.
UACGAAGGGGGCUAGCGUUGUUCGGAUUUACUGGGCGUAAAGCGCACGUAGGCGGAUCGAUCAGUCAGGGGUGAAAUCCCAGAGCUCAACUCUGGAACUGCCUUUGAUACUGUCGAUCUGGAGUAUGGAAGAGGUGAGUGGAAUUCCCGGUGUAGCGGUGAAAUGCGUAGAUAUCUGGAGGAACACCGGUGGCGAAGGCGGCAUCCUGGACCGACAUUGAUGCUGAGGCGCGAAAGCCAGGGGAGCAAACGGG